This 249-nucleotide long non-coding RNA is filed under the name Mytilus galloprovincialis (Mediterranean mussel). Lineage: Eukaryota; Metazoa; Mollusca; Bivalvia; Mytilida; Mytilidae. The record is from RNAcentral.
GCCUGUGCUCUUUUUUAAUCUUUAUUCUGCCUAUGCUUUUUUUUAUCUUUAUUCUGCCUAUGCAGCACUUUCACAGUCGGUAAUUUGUUUAACUUAAUGUAUAUAUGGAAGUGUUUAACGACCUCGACUGGCUAUUUUAACUUAAAUGAGAUUUAUAAAAUAUAUAUAAGUUUCUCACAGAACCAAAGACGGUAACCAAAGAUUUUGCGACGAUACAAAUAUUAAACUUUACAAUAUAAAUAAAUAUCU